UCGUACGCACUGGCCCAACUGAUUGAUGGUGCUUGCAUUGACGAUGGAUCACCAGUGAGUGGCGGACGAACACGUAGGUAACCUGCCCCGGAGCGGGGGAUAACAUUUGGAAACAGAUGCUAAUACCGCAUAACAACAAAAGCCGCAUGGCUUUUGUUUGAAAGAUGGCUUUGGCUAUCACUCUGGGAUGGACCUGCGGUAGCUAGUUAGGUAACGGCUUACCAAGGCGAUGAUGCAUAGCCAAGUUGAGAGACUGAUCGGCCACAAUGGAACUGAGACACGGUCCAUACUCCUACGGGAGGCAGCAGUAGGGAAUCUUCCACAAUGGGCGCAAGCCUGAUGGAGCAACACCGCGUGAGUGAAGAAGGGUUUCGGCUCGUAGCUCUGUUGUUGGAGAAGAACGUGCGUGAGAGUAACUGUUCACGCAGUGACGGUAUCCAACCAGAAAGUCACGGCUAACUACGUGCCAGCAGCCGCGGUAAUACGUAGGUGGCAAGCGUUAUCCGGAUUUAUUGGGCGUAAAGCGAGCGCAGGCGGUUGCUUAGGUCUGACGGCUUAACCGAAGAAGUGCAUCGGAAACCGGGCGACUUGAGUGCAGAGGACAGUGGAACUCCAUGUGUAGCGGUGGAAUGCGUAGAUAUAUGGAAGAACACCAGUGGCGAAGGCGGCUGUCUGGUCUGCAACUGACGCUGAGGCUCGAAAGCAUGGGUAGCGAACAGGAUUAGAUACCCUGGCCAUGCCGUAAACGAUGAGUGCUAGGUGUUGGAGGGUUUCCGCCCUUCAGUGCCGGAGCUAACGCAUUAAGCACUCCGCCUGGGGAGUACGACCGCAAGGUUGAAACUCAAAGGAAUUGACGGGGGCCCGCACAAGCGGUGGAGCAUGUGGUUUAAUUCGAAGCUACGCGAAGAACCAGGUCUUGACAUCUUGCGCUAACCUUAGAGAUAAGGCGUUCCCUUCGGGGACGCAAUGACAGGUGGUGCAUGGUCGUCGUCAGCUCGUGUCGUGAGAUGUUGGGUUAAGUCCCGCAACGAGCGCAACCCUUGUUACUAGUUGCCAGCAUUGAGUUGGGCAGUGAGACUGCCGGUGACAAACCGGAGGAAGGUGGGGACGACGUCAGAUCAUCAUGCCCCUUAUGACCUGGGCUACACACGUGCUACAAUGGACGGUACAACGAGUCGCAAACUCGCGAGAGUAAGCUAAUCUCUUAAAGCCGUUCUCAGUUCGGACUGUAGGCUGCAACUCGCCUAUCGGAAUCGCUAGUAAUCGCGGCAUGCCGCGGUGAAUACGUUCCCGGGCCUUGUACACACCGCCCGUCACACCAUGGGAGUUUGUAACUGCCCAAAGUCGGUG
RNAcentral lists this ribosomal RNA (1350 nucleotides) under Limosilactobacillus reuteri. Its description in RNAcentral is "bacterial SSU rRNA". It matches the Rfam family "Bacterial small subunit ribosomal RNA", at positions 62 to 1432 of the family's 1533-position model. Lineage: Bacteria; Bacillati; Bacillota; Bacilli; Lactobacillales; Lactobacillaceae. The record is from RNAcentral.